GAUCUCGUGCUGUAGUGGUUAUCACAUCUGUCUUACACACAGAAGGUCGGCGGUUCGAGCCCGCCCGAGAUCA
RNAcentral lists this transfer RNA (73 nucleotides) under Dictyocaulus viviparus (bovine lungworm). It matches the Rfam family "tRNA". Rfam says of the family: Transfer RNA (tRNA) molecules are approximately 80 nucleotides in length. Their secondary structure includes four short double-helical elements and three loops (D, anti-codon, and T loops). Further hydrogen bonds mediate the characteristic L-shaped molecular structure. tRNAs have two regions of fundamental functional importance: the anti-codon, which is responsible for specific mRNA codon recognition, and the 3' end, to which the tRNAs corresponding amino acid is attached (by aminoacyl-tRNA synthetases). tRNAs cope with the degeneracy of the genetic code in two manners: having more than one tRNA (with a specific anti-codon) for a particular amino acid; and 'wobble' base-pairing, i.e. permitting non-standard base-pairing at the 3rd anti-codon position. The record is from Rfam by way of RNAcentral. Lineage: Eukaryota; Metazoa; Nematoda; Chromadorea; Rhabditida; Metastrongylidae.